This 260-nucleotide ribosomal RNA is filed under the name uncultured bacterium. Its description in RNAcentral is "partial 16S ribosomal RNA". It matches the Rfam family "Bacterial small subunit ribosomal RNA", at positions 793 to 1055 of the family's 1533-position model. The record is from RNAcentral.
GUCCUAGCCGUAACGGUGAUCACUAGGUGUUGGAGGCAUCGACCCCUCCAGUGCCGCAGCUAACGCAUUAAGUGAUCCGCCUGGGAGUACGGCCGCAAGGUUGAAACUCAAAGGAAUUGACGGGGCCCGCACAAGCGGUGGAGCAUGUGGUUUAAUUCGACACAACGCGAAGAACCUUACCCAGGCUUGACAUGCACUAGACGGGUGUGGAAACACACCUUCCCUUCGGGGCUGGUGCACAGGUGCUGCAUGGCUGUCGU